CUUAGGCUGAGGAGUGACCAGAGACUUGACUCUUUGAAAGGAUGCCCAGAAGAGGGAGGCAAUCAUCGGUGGAAAGAAGCUCCCAUCAAUGCAGAGAGGAGUGGUGGGAUGUGACCCAUCUUCUGGGAGCGUGAGGCAGAGACGAAGUGAGGAACUGAGGUGGUUUGAUCACGCUGGUCGGUGAGGGGCAGAGGAGGGACCUGCGAGGAUGAGGCUGACUCAGAAAGACAGGAGACCAGGACAGCAAAAUCCUAACCGUGAGCACCAGAAGGCUGCGUCUGGUCUUAGUUGUGGCAAGUGGGAUCUUCGUUGGGGCAUGCAGGAUCUUUUAGUUGCAGCACGCAGACUCUUAGUUGCCGCAUGCAAACUCUUAGUUGCGGCAUGCAUGUGGGAUCUAGUUCCCUGACCAGGGA
Long non-coding RNA from Balaenoptera acutorostrata (minke whale), 413 nucleotides. RefSeq lists it as uncharacterized. The transcript has 3 exons. The record is from RefSeq and is a predicted model, not a curated record. NCBI's taxonomy places the organism in Eukaryota, Metazoa, Chordata, Mammalia, Artiodactyla, Balaenopteridae.